RNAcentral lists this ribosomal RNA (109 nucleotides) under Acanthosepion pharaonis. Lineage: Eukaryota; Metazoa; Mollusca; Cephalopoda; Sepiida; Sepiidae. The record is from RNAcentral.
UUACGGCCAUAUCAAAUUGAAUCACCGCUUCCCAUACGAUCACCGAAGUUAAGAAACGUAGAGCCUUGUCAGUAUCUAGAUGGGUGACCACUUGGGAAUACUAGUCGCU